RNAcentral lists this ribosomal RNA (400 nucleotides) under Pseudogulbenkiania sp. NS39. RNAcentral describes it as "bacterial SSU rRNA". It matches the Rfam family "Bacterial small subunit ribosomal RNA", at positions 76 to 476 of the family's 1533-position model. The record is from RNAcentral. Lineage: Bacteria; Pseudomonadati; Pseudomonadota; Betaproteobacteria; Neisseriales; Chromobacteriaceae.
GGCUUCCGCCCCGCUGACGAGUGGCGAACGGGUGAGUAAUGCGUCGGAACGCCCCGAGUAAUGGGGGAUAACGCAGCGAAAGCUGUGCUAAUACCGCAUACGCUCCGAGGAGGAAAGCAGGGGAUCGUAAGACCUUGCGUUAUUCGAGCGGCCGACGUCUGAUUAGCUAGUUGGUGGGGUAAAGGCCCACCAAGGCGACGAUCAGUAGCGGGUCUGAGAGGAUGAUCCGCCACACUGGGACUGAGACACGGCCCAGACUCCUACGGGAGGCAGCAGUGGGGAAUUUUGGACAAUGGGCGCAAGCCUGAUCCAGCCAUGCCGCGUGUCUGAAGAAGGCCUUCGGGUUGUAAAGGACUUUUGUCCGGGAGCAAAUGCCGGUGGCUAAUAUCCACUGGAGCUG